CUUUCCACCUUCCAGACCUUCCAACGUCUAAAAGUCGCAUCGGUCAGCCAUUAGUCCGGCUCCUGUUCCCUUUCAGGCCUCGGCUAUUCUGUCCUCAUCCUUCCUUCUCGCCACCCUCUUUGAUUGAGCGUCGGGCUUUUACGCUGACCGGCGUGACGUCCCUGACACUUACCAAUCUUCCUUUGGCGCUUCGUGAAGAGAAAGAUAAGCUCAUUGUUCAACAUCCAGACCACUUUCAGGUUCAUCAUAUCAUCGGUAAUUCUUCUGCCUGUUAGCAAGGUGAGUCAAGUCACGUGGACACUAAAUUGAUUUAGAAUUACUUUCCCAACUCGGCCGGUGACGAAAAGGUGAGGGUUUUCAUUUGUGUUUCUGCCCAACAGGAGAAGGUUGUUAUCAAUGGAGCUUGACUAUAUCGAGGAGAACGUGUUCAAGUAUUACAUUGUUAGAUCGUUAGAAGUUGUAGAAAAGAUAUCGUACCCUAUCGCAUGAAGAAGCGAGCCGCCAUUCGACCUUCAAUCCCUCGUGGUGGUAAACCAAUUAACUAGAACCUAUUUUGUUGAUAAAUUUGUUUUCAAUCCUUAUUUGAG
This 587-nucleotide small RNA is filed under the name Cryptococcus neoformans H99. RNAcentral's name for it is "Cryptococcus neoformans var. grubii H99 hypothetical RNA". Lineage: Eukaryota; Fungi; Basidiomycota; Tremellomycetes; Tremellales; Cryptococcaceae. The record is from RNAcentral.